CAGGCUGCAACUCGCCUGCAUGAAGUUGGAAUUGCUAGUAAUCGCGAAUCAGAAUGUCGCGGUGAAUACGUUCCCGGGCCUUGUACACACCGCCCGUCACACCAUGAGAGCCGAUAACACCCGAAGCCUGUGAGCUAACCGGUAAGGGGGCAGCAGUCGAAGGUGGGGUUGGUGAUUGGGGUGAAGUCGUAACAAGGUAUC
RNAcentral lists this ribosomal RNA (201 nucleotides) under uncultured bacterium. RNAcentral describes it as "partial 16S ribosomal RNA". It matches the Rfam family "Bacterial small subunit ribosomal RNA", at positions 1301 to 1500 of the family's 1533-position model. The record is from RNAcentral.